Molecule: ribosomal RNA, 506 nt
Filed under: uncultured bacterium
Lineage: Bacteria
Description: partial 16S ribosomal RNA
Rfam family: Bacterial small subunit ribosomal RNA
Source: RNAcentral
AGUGAACGCUGGCGGUAGGCCUAACACAUGCAAGUCGAACGGCAGCACAGGAGAGCUUGCUCUCUGGGUGGCGAGUGGCGGACGGGUGAGGAAUACAUCGGAAUCUACCCUGUCGUGGGGGAUAACGUAGGGAAACUUACGCUAAUACCGCAUACGACCUACGGGUGAAAGCAGGGGACCUACUGGCCUUGCGCGAUUGAAUGAGCCGAUGUCGGAGUAGCUCGUUGGCGGGGUAAAGGCCCACCAAGGCACCGAUCCGUAGCUGGUCUGAGAGGAUGAUCAGCCACACUGGAACUGAGACACGGUCCAGACUCCCACGGGAGGCAGCAGUGGGGAAUAUUGGACAAUGGGCGCAAGCCUGAUCCAGCCAUACCGCGUGGGUGAAGAAGGCCUUCGGGUUGUAAAGCCCUUUUGUUGGGAAAGAAAUCCAGCUGGCUAAUACCCGGUUGGGAUGACGGUACCCAAAGAAUAAGCACCGGCUAACUUCGUGCCAGCCGCCGCCGUAA